Molecule: ribosomal RNA, 404 nt
Filed under: uncultured bacterium
Lineage: Bacteria
Description: partial 16S ribosomal RNA
Rfam family: Bacterial small subunit ribosomal RNA
Source: RNAcentral
GACGAACGCUGGCGGCGUGCUUAACACAUGCAAGUCGAGCGGAGCGGCGAACGGGUGAGUAACGCGUGAGUAACUGCCCCCCUCUCUGGGAUAACAGUUGGAAACGGCUGCUAAUACCGGCUAGUGGGGGAUGACUCGGGUCCUAUCAGCUUGUUGGUGGGGUAGUGGCCUACCAAGGCGACGACGGGUAGCCGGCCUGAGAGGGCGACCGGCCACAUUGGGCUGAGAGACGGCCCAAACUACUACGGGAGGCAGGAGUGGAGAAUAUUGCACAAUGGGGGAAACCCUGAUGCAGCAACGCGAGUGAAGGAAGACGGUCUUCGGAUUGUAAACGUCUUUAGACAGGGACGCGGUACCUGUAGAAUAAGCCACGGCUAACUACGUGCCAGCAGCCGCGGUAAUUC